This 516-nucleotide unclassified non-coding RNA is filed under the name uncultured Flavobacteriaceae bacterium. Its description in RNAcentral is "16S-23S ribosomal RNA intergenic spacer". The stretch from base 93 to 166 matches the Rfam family "tRNA". Lineage: Bacteria; Pseudomonadati; Bacteroidota; Flavobacteriia; Flavobacteriales; Flavobacteriaceae. The record is from RNAcentral.
AGAGAAAGACGACUAGAGGUAAAUUAAGUAAGGAAAAGAGUGCGUUUAUUCUCACAGCUGUUAAUUAAAAAAGAUACCAAGUAAAAAAGUAGAGUCUCAUAGCUCAGCUGGUUAGAGCGCUACACUGAUAAUGUAGAGGUCGGCAGUUCGAGUCUGCCUGAGACUACUAAUUUUUUUUGAAUUGGAAAUUCUAGAAGUUGAGGAUGUAGUUAAGAGUCACUAACUACUAACUACUAUGUACUAACUACUAGUAUAUGGGGAAUUAGCUCAGCUGGCUAGAGCGCCUGCCUUGCACGCAGGAGGUCAUCGGUUCGACUCCGAUAUUCUCCACAAAAACGUUCAUUGACAUAUUGAAAAAAGGUACAUGAAAUUAGAUAGAAAUAUUUAAUAAAAGUAAUAAUUAUUGUAACGAGCAAUAAUAAGGUAUCAUGAUAUUAUAUUUAGGGGUUAAUUUAUUAGCUUUUAAGGAUUUUAUUGUGGUGCUUAAUAGGAACUCAUUAAAAAGACAAAAAGUAC